GCGGCAGCUGCAUCUGUACUGUUGUCAUUGCUCAGCCUUUCACCCUGCAUGUGCUUACUACAUUAUAAAAAUAACUGUAAAAUAGUAACAAUUUCUUCCAUCUCUCAACCCCUGUGAAAUGCUGAGUGACUGGAGUCAAAAGUAGUGUCUGGAGAGCAAUCAUUUUUGUGGUCAAGGAGAAGAAAGGAAGAUAAGACCCAGGAAAACACCGAUGAAGGAGAAUUAUCCUUAUUUCACCUUGGUGUUAACAAAAGCCUUAACAAGCCUGGAGCCUGAGUGCAGAAAAUGUGCUGUCUCAUCACUCCCCAUUUGUUGUGAUACUGGCUGUGUGUGAUGAGAACAAGGGAGCUUUCCAUUUGGAGUGGCUCCUGGAUGUCUCACUACAUCAGCCCCAAGGAACAGCUGCCUCUUCCAUCCCCUCUUGUGAUGAUAACUCAGCAGUCACCAACUUUCACCCAGUAUCAAAGGCAGAUACGGUAGAUAGAAAAAUGAAAAACUCUGGGCAGAAGUCAUUCCCAAAAAGAGCCUUAUAGAGUAACCAGUCUUCCAUCUGGAUAUGUUGUAACAUGAAAGUGAGUAUUAUGCUGCAAAAUUUGAAUUUGUACUUAUAAUUGUUUUGGUGUCAUACGAUCAGAAUAAAAGAAUUCUGUGUAAUUAUGGUCUGUGUAAU
Molecule: long non-coding RNA, 670 nt
Filed under: Parus major (Great Tit)
Lineage: Eukaryota; Metazoa; Chordata; Aves; Passeriformes; Paridae
Description: lncRNA (ENSPMJG00000005676.1)
Source: RNAcentral